AGCUUGCUUCUCUGAUGUUAGCGGCGGACGGGUGAGUAACACGUGGAUAACCUACCUAUAAGACUGGGAUAACUUCGGGAAACCGGAGCUAAUACCGGAUAAUAUUUUGAACCGCAUGGUUCAAAAGUGAAAGACGGUCUUGCUGUCACUUAUAGAUGGAUCCGCGCUGCAUUAGCUAGUUGGUAAGGUAACGGCUUACCAAGGCAACGAUGCAUAGCCGACCUGAGAGGGUGAUCGGCCACACUGGAACUGAGACACGGUCCAGACUCCUACGGGAGGCAGCAGUAGGGAAUCUUCCGCAAUGGGCGAAAGCCUGACGGAGCAACGCCGCGUGAGUGAUGAAGGUCUUCGGAUCGUAAAACUCUGUUAUUAGGGAAGAACAUAUGUGUAAGUAACUGUGCACAUCUUGACGGUACCUAAUCAGAAAGCCACGGACUAACUACGUGCCAGCAGCCGCGGUAAUACGUAGGUGGCAAAGCGUAAUCCGGAAUUCAUUGGGCGUAAAG
This 506-nucleotide ribosomal RNA is filed under the name uncultured Staphylococcus sp. RNAcentral's name for it is "bacterial SSU rRNA". It matches the Rfam family "Bacterial small subunit ribosomal RNA", at positions 77 to 565 of the family's 1533-position model. Lineage: Bacteria; Bacillati; Bacillota; Bacilli; Caryophanales; Staphylococcaceae. The record is from RNAcentral.